GACGAACGCUGGCGGCGUGCCUAAUACAUGCAAGUAGAACGCUGAAGGAGGAGCUUGCUUCUCUGGAUGAGUCGCGAACGGGUGAGUAACGCGUAGGUAACCUGCCUGGUAGCGGGGGAUAACUAUUGGAAACGAUAGCUAAUACCGCAUAAGAGAAGAUGUUGCAUGACAUUUGCUUAAAAGGUGCAAUUGUAUCACUACCAGAUGGACCUGCGUUGUAUUAGCUAGUUGGUGAGGUAACGGCUCACCAAGGCGACGAUACAUAGCCGACCUGCGAGGGUGAUCGUCCACGCUGCGACUGAGACGCGGCCCGGACUCCUACUGGAGGCAGCAGUAGGGUAUCUUCGGCAGUAGACGGAAGUCUGACCGAGCAACGCCGCGUGGGUGAAGUAGGUUUUCGGAUCGUGAAGCUCUGUUGUAAGUGAAGAACGAGUGUGGGAGUGGAAAGUUCACGCUGUGACGGUAUCUUACCAGAAAGGGACGGCUAACUACGUG
Molecule: ribosomal RNA, 495 nt
Filed under: uncultured bacterium
Lineage: Bacteria
Description: partial 16S ribosomal RNA
Rfam family: Bacterial small subunit ribosomal RNA
Source: RNAcentral